RNAcentral lists this long non-coding RNA (391 nucleotides) under Androctonus crassicauda. Lineage: Eukaryota; Metazoa; Arthropoda; Arachnida; Scorpiones; Buthidae. The record is from RNAcentral.
AUCCAACAAGAAAUAAAUCUUAAGACUACUUAAAUCCUAAUACUUCCACAACCGAUACAAACUUUAAACCAUUAUAGAUCUUUUACAAGAAGCUACCUACAGAGGAUGCAAGACUACCAAUUUACUGCUCUAUCACCUAUGAACUUAAUUGAUAUGCUACUGGAGAAAGGCCCUAUGCCGGACCAACUUAUGCAGAUACUAGACUUCAAAUCACUAUACUCAUCGAUACGGCUUGAACCCGCUUGUCUCUUUCUUUAUCGCUUUCUACUACAGCACCUCUCAGACCAAUGCUCCGACCCAGGUUUAAUAAGGACAAUAUGCCAUACUGUAGUUCAUAGGUCAUAUUUCGUGUUUAAUGAUAGAAUCUACGAGCAGACCAGAAGUGUACCCA